This 81-nucleotide small nucleolar RNA is filed under the name Cucumis melo (muskmelon). RNAcentral's name for it is "Small nucleolar RNA Z103". It matches the Rfam family "Small nucleolar RNA Z103". Rfam says of the family: This family consists of several snoRNA Z103 sequences which are members of the C/D class of snoRNA which contain the C (UGAUGA) and D (CUGA) box motifs. This family seems to be found exclusively in plants. C/D box small nucleolar RNAs are known to act as a methylation guides for 18S ribosomal RNA. The record is from Rfam by way of RNAcentral. Lineage: Eukaryota; Viridiplantae; Streptophyta; Magnoliopsida; Cucurbitales; Cucurbitaceae. RNAcentral also lists the same sequence under 1 other name.
UUGGAUGUGAUGAUACUUUCCCCAAGUGAUCGACGCUAAUUAUACUAUGCUGGUGUUUUUAUCACAUUCCGUCUGAUUCAU